RNAcentral lists this transfer RNA (19 nucleotides) under Aechmea cylindrata. RNAcentral's name for it is "partial tRNA-Phe". Lineage: Eukaryota; Viridiplantae; Streptophyta; Magnoliopsida; Poales; Bromeliaceae. The record is from RNAcentral.
GUCGGGAUAGCUCAGUGGA